CCGCACACGCGCUACACUGAAGGAGACAACGUGUUUGUCUGGCUCGAAAGAGUCGGGUAACCCGUUUAAUCUCCUUCGUGCUGGGGAUUGAGGUUUGCAAUUGUCCCUCAUGAACGAGGAAUUCCCAGUAAGUGCAAGUCAUAAGCUUGCGCUGACUACGU
This 161-nucleotide ribosomal RNA is filed under the name uncultured eukaryote. RNAcentral describes it as "partial 18S ribosomal RNA". It matches the Rfam family "Eukaryotic small subunit ribosomal RNA", at positions 1487 to 1650 of the family's 1831-position model. The record is from RNAcentral.